Molecule: long non-coding RNA, 1738 nt
Organism: Physeter macrocephalus (sperm whale)
Lineage: Eukaryota; Metazoa; Chordata; Mammalia; Artiodactyla; Physeteridae
Exons: 8
Source: RefSeq, a predicted model, not a curated record
AGCAAUAUUUACAAUAGCCAGGACAUGGAAGCAACCUAAUUUUCCAUCGACAGAUGAAUGGAUAAAGAAGAUGUGGCACAUAUAUACAAUGGAAUAUUACUCCGCCAUAAAAAGAAACGAAAUUGAGUUAUUUGUAGUGAGAUGGAUGGACCUAGAGUCUGUCAUACAAAAUGAAUCAUCAAUUGCUCUGUGUGAAGAUAUGCCCUGGGAAGCCCUAUGUAGAGGUCCAUAUAGUGAGGAACUGAAGCCUCCUGCCAAGAGCCAUAUGAGUGAUCUUGGAAACAGAUUCUCUAGCCUCAAUCAAGUGUUCAGAAACUACAUACAGCCUUAGUAACAACUUGAUUGCAAACUCGUGAGGAAGUGUGAGCAAGAAUCAUGCAGGGUCUGCGCCAGAGCUCUUCAAGGACAGGGAUUGCAUUUGGUGAGCUUUUCACCAGAAUGUCAGCUCCAAGAGAGAUUGUUCUCCAGCAAUAGUGGCUCAAUUUGUGGCAAUAAACACGUGUGUAGUUGUUUGCCUGGCUCUCUACCAACAUAGGGUUUGUCAAAGGAAAACUCAAAGUUAUAAACAUCUAGAAAAAGAAACAAAGACCUACAAAGAAACAAAGACCUAUUUCUCCAAAUAACACAAUGCGGAGCAUUUAAAAAGAAAAUACCCUGUGAAAUUAGGAAUGUUUCUGAGUUCAGAUCAAUCUGUUCAAUGCGGAAAGCAGCAACUUUGUGACAUGACUUUUAUAUUCACAAAGGUCAAGACACAGCUUCAAUAUCUGCAUAGAAAAGAUGAGGGACAGACUUAUUUUUGCAGGAAGUCCAGGUUAUCUGAAAUGUUCAGCAAUUGGACAUUGAGGAAAGGAUCUCUGAGCUUGAGGAUAUUUCAGUAGAACCCACCAGAAAUGAAAAGUGAACGAAGACCGAAAAAAUCGGAACUGUGGGACAGUUACAAAAGGUGUAACGUAUGUGUAAUGGGAAUAACAAAAGGAGAAGGAAAAAAAAGGAAGAGAAGAAAUAUUUAAAAUAAUAAUAACUGAGAAUUUCCCCCAAAUUGAUGUCAGAUACCAAAUUACAGAUCCAGAAAACUCAGAACACCAAACAGGAAAAAUGCCAAAAAAAUUACAACUUGGCUUUCUGUAUUUUGAAUAUGAUAUGCCAAAGUCAAAGAAAAAAAUUCUGAAACAAGCCAAAGGUAAAAUAUACCUUACCUAUAGAGGAGCAAGGGUAAGAAUUACAUCUAACUUCUCAUAAACCAUGCAAGCCAAGAAGAGAAGUGGAGUGAAACAUUUAAUCUGAUGAAAGAAAAAAAGCCACUUACCUACAGUUCUGUACCUUGAGAAAUUUUCCUUCAAAAGUGAAGGAAAAGUAAAGACUUCCUCGGACAAACAAAAAUCGAGGGAGUUUGUUCCUAGUGGGCCUUGCCUUGCAAGAAUGUUAAAGGAAGUUCUUUAGAGAAAAGGAAAAUAAGUCAAAAACUGGGAUCCACAUAAAGUAAGGAAGAGCAUCAAAGAAGGAAUAAAUGAAGCCACUCCGCAUCACUCGCAUUACCACCUGAGCUCCGCCUCCUGUCAGCAUUAUGGUGGAACAGGAAUUGGGAAAACACCAGAAUCAAAUCUUCAUGAAUUUUUAGUAGAAAGGCUGCAGGAGUGAGGACCACUAGAUUACUGAAAGAGCAGAAUGGAUGGUCUGUCCCUAGUCCUGAGUCUGAUUUGAAGAUCUGAGUGGCAGAAGCUAAUUUUAAAGGAUCAAC